CAAUAAACAAUGUAUAUUCACUUUUACUACCAACCAAUCUUUACCAUUCAGUGAUAACAAACACUUUAUUUUACAUUUUAAUAUUUUAUGAUGUAUUUAAAAGAGUAGUUAUUGUUGCAAACUCCAUUAGAAAUUUGAAUUGAUAUCAGUUUUGGAAAAAGGGAAACAAGGAUGUGAAAAAAAGGGGGGGGGUUUAAAUUUUUCUCAUUUCAGAUUUCAUAAAUAAAAAGAAAAUUUCUUCAAACAUUUUUUUGAGAGGAUUAAUAUUCAACAGCAUAGUGAAUUUCUCAAAGGCAAAACAAAAGUUUUAAGUUCAUUAGACCACAUUCAUUCUGUGUCAGAAACCUAUGCUGUGUCAACUAUUUAAUUUUAGAUUUAAAAAGUUUGAAGAAGAAAUCUUUAAUUGAUUUGUAAAAUCUUGACAAUUGUUUUGUGUAAAAAAAACUCAUGUAAUGUCAAAAAUUUGAUCACAAUCCAAAUUCAGAGCUGUAUCACGCUUGAAUGUUUUGUCCAUACUUGCCCC
This 523-nucleotide long non-coding RNA is filed under the name Mytilus galloprovincialis (Mediterranean mussel). The record is from RNAcentral. Lineage: Eukaryota; Metazoa; Mollusca; Bivalvia; Mytilida; Mytilidae.